This 465-nucleotide ribosomal RNA is filed under the name uncultured bacterium. RNAcentral describes it as "partial 16S ribosomal RNA". It matches the Rfam family "Bacterial small subunit ribosomal RNA", at positions 28 to 507 of the family's 1533-position model. The record is from RNAcentral.
GACGAACGCUGGCGGCGUGCUUAACACAUGCGAGUCGAACGGAAAGGCCCCUUCGGGGGUACUCGAGUGGCGAACGGGUGAGUAACACGUGAGUAACCUGCCCUUGACUUCGGGAUAACUUCAGGAAACUGGGGCUAAUACCGGAUAGGAAUCCUUGCUGCAUGGUGGGGGUUGGAAAGCUUCGGCGGUUUUGGAUGGACUCGCGGCUUAUCAGCUUGUUGGUGGGGUAGUGGCUUACCAAGGCCUUGACGGGUAGCCGGCCUGAGAGGGCGACCGGCCACAUUGGGACUGAGAUACGGCCCAGACUCCUACGGGAGGCAGCAGUGGGGAAUAUUGCACAAUGGGCGGAAGCCUGAUGCAGCAACGCCGCGUGCGGGAUGACGGCCUUCGGGUUGUAAACCGCUUUCAGCAGGGGCGAAGCUUGUGGUGACGGUACCUGCAGAAGAAGCACCGGCUAACUACGUG